Molecule: ribosomal RNA, 237 nt
Filed under: Triticum aestivum (bread wheat)
Lineage: Eukaryota; Viridiplantae; Streptophyta; Magnoliopsida; Poales; Poaceae
Description: partial small subunit ribosomal RNA
Source: RNAcentral
AUGUCGUACAACCCGUUGGAUGUGGUGUGUUGGAAUGUGAGGGGCUUAAAUAGCCAGGUUAGGAAGAAGGCGUUGAGGGAGUUUGUUGGCUCCUUGCGUGUGGCUAUCGUUUGUAUUGUGGAAUCUAAACUAGAGUAUGUUGACCAGUACAUCAUCGUGCAAUGCCUAGGGCCAUCCUACGAUGGUUUUGCUUACCUCCCGGCUACCGAGACUAGAGGAGGGAUCGUGAUGUGUUGG